ACGGGAGGCAGCAGUGGGGAAUAUUGGGCAAUGGGCGAAAGCCUGACCCAGCAAUGCCGCGUGAAGGAAGAAGGUCUUCGGAUUGUAAACUUCUUUUAUGAGGGACGAAGGAAUUGACGGUACCUCAUGAAUAAGCCACGGCUAACUACGUGCCAGCAGCCGCGGUAAUACGUAGGUGGCAAGCGUUAUCCGGAUUUACUGGGUGUAAGGGGCGCGUAGGCGGGGAAGCAAGUAAGAUGUGAAAUCUAUGGGCUUAACUCAUAAACUGCAUUUGAAACUGUUUCUCUUGAGUGCUGGAGAGGUAGAUGGAAUUCCUAGUGUAGCGGUGAAAUGCGUAGAUAUUAGGAAGAACACCAGUGGCGAAGGCGAUCUACUGGACAGUAACUGACGCUGAGGCGCGAAAGCGUGGGGAGCAAACAGGAUUAGAUACCCUGGUA
RNAcentral lists this ribosomal RNA (437 nucleotides) under uncultured Oscillospiraceae bacterium. RNAcentral describes it as "bacterial SSU rRNA". It matches the Rfam family "Bacterial small subunit ribosomal RNA", at positions 341 to 792 of the family's 1533-position model. Lineage: Bacteria; Bacillati; Bacillota; Clostridia; Eubacteriales; Oscillospiraceae. The record is from RNAcentral.